GAUGUUGCUGUAUAGUUGUGAGAUUAAGUUGUGUUAAUUGUCAUAGGUUCGUAUAGUUAUUGUGGGUUGAAUCGGGCAUGAAAUUGGGCAUGAAAUUGGGCUGUGUAAUUAUUAAUAGAACUGUACACUGAAUUAAGUUGAACAAACAGGAAACACAUUUGAUUGCGAUGAUAAGAAAUGUGAAUUGAUUUGAACAAACUGCUGAAUUUGUACAUUGAAUUGCCAUGGUUAUUUACAUUAGUAAUUGUGAAUUGAAUUGAACUAACAGUUCUAAAGCGGAAAUGGAGGGAGGGUACAGGAAGCGUAAAACGUGCAGCACCCGGAGUGAUGAUGAGGAUGGAGUAGGACGAGGACCUACCCUGAAGAAGCUUUCUCCUGAGUUAAUCAAGGAUGAUUCUUUAACUCUGGGCGGCUGUGUGAAAAGGAAAGGCGAAGUGUUGCAAAGACAUGCGAAGGCAACAUCUAGGCCAGCUAAUACAAGUUGUCGCGUAGAGUCGUUUGGUAGAAUAUGUCAAAAGUUAGACCAACAAAGGAAGGGGUGGGUUUGUGAAAUGGGGUUUGACGGUCUCUUAAAAAUAGGAGAAAUUAACCUCCCAAGACAGUUGGCUUAUUGGUUGAUGACUCGUAUAGAUCCCUUCAAUUGUACUCUCACUAGCAGAGAGGGUAGAGUUUUCAAGCUUUCUCAAAAUCAAGUGCAUUGGGUUCUUGGCAUUCCCAAUGGUGGACUUCCUGUUCCCACUUACGAAACAAUGGGUAGUGAAAUGUUUGAAAGAGUGAAAAGUAUUAUGGAUAGGUAUGGUAAAACAUGGAAAACUAAGUCUUCUACAACUGGUCGUGAGUACAUAUUCGAGGGUAUUCAAGUUAAUGCUGAUUUGAUUGCCCGGGUUGAGGGACAAUGGGAGGAUGAUCAGGCGGAAGAGUUCAAGACUGUAUUCUUGUUGUUGGCGCUAGAGAUGUUGUUAUGUCCUAAUCAAUCAUCUAGAUUGGCUGCUGACUUAGUGCCAUCAUUAACGUGUGCGUCAAAGGCUGCUCAAUAUGACUGGUGCAGCCUAGUUUUGAAGAAGCUCAUGAAUAGUGUCGCGAUGUUUGCACGACGGUUUUACUCAAGUGGCUAUGCUAGUGGUUGUGCAGGUUGCCUAAUAUACAUUGUGAUUAUGUAUCUGGAUCGGCUAUACAGACAUCCUGUGCAGUGGGGUUUUUUCCCGCGUUAGGAGGUUUGGAAGAUGGAUGAGAUACGCAAAGCAGUUACGGAAGAUCGUUUCCCAAAUUCUGGUGAUUUUGGUAAACUUGGGGUAAGCAAAAGUCGUAAAGCUAUUUAUAUAUUAGUUAAACCAAGUGUGUGAUGGUUCUACUGUGGUUUGUUAUUGUAGACUUUGGAUGUUGCCUAUGGUGAAAUGCAUCCUAGUGAGGCAAGAGAUACCAAUGGGCCUGAGGGGUUAAAAAAGGUUCUUUGUAGUGGCAGUGCUAGUGUUUGUUACAAGAGGAAGGGAGCAAGAAAAAGCACCUCAAAAAAAUGGUCGAAUAUGCGGAAUGCUGCAUCUUUUAACACGGAUGAUUGUAAAGGGGAGAAAGCAAGUGCUAGAUCUAUUAACUCAGAUGAAUUUAAU
RNA transcript from Chenopodium quinoa (quinoa), 1607 nucleotides. RefSeq lists it as uncharacterized. The record is from RefSeq and is a predicted model, not a curated record. Lineage: Eukaryota; Viridiplantae; Streptophyta; Magnoliopsida; Caryophyllales; Amaranthaceae. The transcript is spliced from 6 exons.